GUCGAGGUGGUGUAGUUGGUUAUCACGUCUGUCUAACAGAUCUCUCUCCAUCAAUAGGAGUUGAGUUUCUGAGCACAGAAGGUCCCGAGUUCAAGUCUCGGCUUCGAUA
This is a non-coding RNA of Saccharata proteae CBS 121410, 109 nucleotides long. NCBI's taxonomy places the organism in Eukaryota, Fungi, Ascomycota, Dothideomycetes, Botryosphaeriales, Saccharataceae. The record is from the annotation of a GenBank genome assembly.